Molecule: long non-coding RNA, 997 nt
Organism: Eriocheir sinensis (Chinese mitten crab)
Lineage: Eukaryota; Metazoa; Arthropoda; Malacostraca; Decapoda; Varunidae
Exons: 5
Source: RefSeq, a predicted model, not a curated record
CAAUGCUUUGGUAGAGGUUGCUGUGUUAGUGUUUCCAUGGGUAGUGUUAUGAGCCUAGUGAUAGUUUGACAAGGCUUUGGUGGAGGUUGUUGUGUUAGUGUUUCCAUGGGUAGUGUUAUGAGCCUAGUGAUAGUUUGACAAGGCUUUGGUGGAGGUUGUUGUGUUAGUGUUUCCAUGGGUAGUGUUAUGAGCCUAGUGAUAGUUUGACAAGGCUUUGGUAGAGGUUGUUGUGUUAGUGUUUCCAUGGGUAGUGUUAUGAGCCUAGUGAUAGUUUGACAAGGCUUUGGUAGAGGUUGUUGUGUUAGUGUUUCCAUGGGUAGUGUUAUGAGCCUAGUGAUAGUUUGACAAGGCUUUGGUAGAGGUUGUUGUGUUAGUGUUUCCAUGGGUAGUGUUAUGAGCCUAGUGAUAGUUUGACAAGGCUUUGGUAGAGGUUGUUGUGUUAGUGUUUCCAUGGGUAGUGUUAUGAGCCUAGUGAUAGUUUGACAAGGCUUUGGUAGAGGUUGUUGUGUUAGUGUUUCCAUGGGUAGUGUUAUGAGCCUAGUGAUAGUUUGACAAGGCUUUGGUAGAGGUUGUUGUGUUAGUGUUUCCAUGGGUAGUGUUAUGAGCCUAGUGAUAGUUUGACAAGGCUUUGGUAGAGGUUGUUGUGUUAGUGUUUCCAUGGGUAGUGUUAUGAGCCUGGUGAUAGUUUGACAAGGCUUUGGUAGAGGUUGUUGUGUUAGUGUUUCCAUGGGUAGUGUUAUGAGCCUAGUGAUAGUUUGACAAGGCUUUGGUAGAGGUUGUUGUGUUAGUGUUUCCAUGGGUAGUGUUAUGAGCCUAGUGAUAGUUUGACAAGGCUUUGGUGGAGGUUGUUGUGUUAGUGUUUCCAUGGGUAGUGUUAUGAGCCUAGUGAUAGUUUGACAAGGCUUCUGCACCAUGAACGCGAAAAAACACUCAUGGGAACCCGACUGACCUCCUUGGUGGCCUUGGGAAAGAUGUUUUGAGAGACGAAAGCGCCAAA